ACCAAUAAAAACAGUCCGUCUAUAAAAAUACAGUCCAUCGACAAUAAGCCACCAGAUAUAGACAUCCGGCCUCAACAAUGACCGCAGGAAAACUUCCACGAUACUCCUACGUAACACACGCUACUGCCUUGAAUAUCCUCACCUGGCUCCUCACCAACACUCUAUCCUCUCAGCGCAUGCCACCCCGUCAUCCUAUCUAGCACAGAACACUUCCAAAAUAUUCCCGUACAAUAACAUAGCCAUUCAUUGUAUUCAUCCGCCAUAUUUUGCCAAUUUUGUAAACCAAACCGCAACCUAGUUAAUAAAUACCCGGAUGUACAAUAACCGGAAACGGAAACAGCAAUAUCUAUUUUCAUCUAAUACUCGUAUAACCACGAGCGCAAUCCCCUCAUAACCCCUCGCUUCGCUGCAUACGGAAUACCUACAAGACACGCAAUCUAAGCUCCGCCAAUACACAUCUCAGACCAAGCCAUGCACUCAGCCGGAGCCAGGCGCUACAGAGGUUUGGCCAUCGCAUGCACCACGCUUCACUACAGGCAUUACUAACGAGCGUGUAGGGGCGGGUGAUGAGGGCCUUAUCAUUCGAAACACGCUUCAUAUACGAAUCAUCUCCCUAGUUUUUUCCCCUUUUACUCCCACCAUCAUCGCCGGUUUUCCCCUAGCUUUCCCCUAAGUCCCCCCGCUUUCAUCUCCAGGUUCGUAUAUGACCAACCAACAGACCUCGCCCCCUGAAGAGAAGUCUUGGUUGGCGUUACAUGCCUUUAGUUCUACAUUUCGCAGAGCUCUUUGAAAUGACCUACACACUUUUGUCUUAUUGGUUUAUUUUGUUAUGUCCAUUUUACAUAUACAUGCCGGUUGGUUUCUUC
Nematostella vectensis (starlet sea anemone) is the source of this 866-nucleotide long non-coding RNA. RefSeq lists it as uncharacterized. The transcript is spliced from 2 exons. The record is from RefSeq and is a predicted model, not a curated record. Lineage: Eukaryota; Metazoa; Cnidaria; Anthozoa; Actiniaria; Edwardsiidae.